RNAcentral lists this long non-coding RNA (354 nucleotides) under Nicotiana benthamiana. RNAcentral's name for it is "long non-coding RNA (NBEN_LNC003077)". The record is from RNAcentral. Lineage: Eukaryota; Viridiplantae; Streptophyta; Magnoliopsida; Solanales; Solanaceae.
CCAGCAGCAUUACAUAAACAGCAAAUUUCAGUAAGCAUGUAUGCUUCUUUAUUAAAUUAUGACCCCCAAAAAUUUACAGACACUUGGUCACAAGAAAUACAGUUCAUUAUACUGUCGAAAUGCAGUAAUUACAAGCCCACAAGACAUCCUAGACCACACAUCAUUUGUUUCUCUUCCUCGGCACCAACUUCUCUAUUCUUUGCCUACUUUGUGUUUGUAAUUGUUUUCCAGUAAUAGCAGCUUUCCCAUUCCAUGUAAGGCUGCCUGGUGAGUAAGGAAGAUCAGAUGGAACACUUAAACCAUUGUGAUCACCUUUGAAUGCAAUUACCCUUGAUUCUGAAGGUUGUGAUGNNN